This 253-nucleotide ribosomal RNA is filed under the name uncultured bacterium. Its description in RNAcentral is "partial 16S ribosomal RNA". It matches the Rfam family "Bacterial small subunit ribosomal RNA", at positions 524 to 776 of the family's 1533-position model. The record is from RNAcentral.
UACGUAGGGGGCAAGCGUUGUCCGGAUUUAUUGGGCGUAAAGAGCGUGUAGGCGGCCAAACAGGUCAGCUGUGAAAACUCGAGGCUCAACCUCGAGACGUCGGUUGAAACCGUAUGGCUAGAGUCCGGAAGAGGAGAGUGGAAUUCCCGGUGUAGCGGUGAAAUGCGCAGAUAUCGGGAAGAACACCUAUGGCGAAGGCAGCACUCUGGGCCGGCACUGACGCUGAGGAGCGAAAGCGUGGGGAGCGAACAGG